RNAcentral lists this ribosomal RNA (260 nucleotides) under Tripteroides bambusa. RNAcentral describes it as "partial large subunit ribosomal RNA". The stretch from base 1 to 176 matches the Rfam family "Bacterial large subunit ribosomal RNA", at positions 2468 to 2643 of the family's 2925-position model. Lineage: Eukaryota; Metazoa; Arthropoda; Insecta; Diptera; Culicidae. The record is from RNAcentral.
UUAGGGAUAACAGCGUAAUUUUUUUUUAGAGUUCUUAUCAACAAAAAAGAUUGCGACCUCGAUGUUGGAUUAAGAUUUAAGGUUGGGUGUAGAAGUUCAAAAUAUAAGUCUGUUCGACUUUUAAAUUCUUACAUGAUCUGAGUUCAAACCGGUGUAAGCCAGGUUGGUUUCUAUCCUUAAUAAAGUAUUAUAUUAUAGUACGAAAGGACCUAAUAUAAAAAAUAUUAAUUUUAAAUUUAAGAAAUUUAUUAAGUUUAAUU